CGCUCAUGAUGAACGCUGGGCGGCGUGCUUAACACAUGCAAGUCGAACGAUGAAGACCGUGCUUGCACGGUUGGAUUAGUGGCGAACGGGUGAGUAUCACGUGAGUAACCUUCCCUUAACUCUGGGAUAAGCCCGGGAAACUGGGUCUAAUACCGGAUACGACCAGUCCUCGCAUGGGGUGCUGGUGGAAAGAUUUAUCGGUUUUGGAUGGACUCGCGGCCUAUCAGCUUGUUGGUGAGGUAAUGGCUCACCAAGGCGAUGACGGGUAGCCGGCCUGAGAGGGUGACCGGCCACACUGGGACUGAGACACGGCCCAGACUCCUACGGGAGGCAGCAGUGGGGAAUAUUGCACAAUGGGCGAAAGCCUGAUGCAGCGACGCCGCGUGCGGGAUGACGGCCUUCGGGUUGUAAACCGCUUUCAGCAGGGAAGAAGCGAAAGUGACG
Molecule: ribosomal RNA, 444 nt
Filed under: Nesterenkonia sandarakina
Lineage: Bacteria; Bacillati; Actinomycetota; Actinomycetes; Micrococcales; Micrococcaceae
Description: bacterial SSU rRNA
Rfam family: Bacterial small subunit ribosomal RNA
Source: RNAcentral